Molecule: ribosomal RNA, 443 nt
Filed under: uncultured bacterium
Lineage: Bacteria
Description: partial 16S ribosomal RNA
Rfam family: Bacterial small subunit ribosomal RNA
Source: RNAcentral
CCUACGGGUGGCAGCAGUGGGGAAUAUUGGUCAAUGGGCGCAAGCCUGACCCAGCAACGCCGCGUGAAGGAAGAAGGCUUUCGGGUUGUAAACUUCUUUUCUCAGGGACGCAGCAAGUGACGGUACCUGAGGGAUAAGCCACAGCUAACUACGUGCCAGCAGCCGCGGUCAUACGGAGGUGGCAAGCGUUAUCCGGAUUUACUGGGUGUAAAGGGCGUGUAGGCGGGACUGCAAGUCAGAUGUGAAAACCACGGGCCCAAGCUGGGGCCUGCAUUUGAAACUGUAGUUCUUGAGUACGGGAGAGGCAGACGGAAUGCCUGGUGUAGCGGUGAAAUGCGUAGAUAUUAGGAGGAACACCAGUUGCGAAGGCGGUCUGCUGGACAGCAACUGACGCUGAGGCGCGAAAGCGUGGGGAGCAAACAGGAUUAGAUACCCUAGUAGUC